This 1589-nucleotide ribosomal RNA is filed under the name Vibrio vulnificus. RNAcentral's name for it is "partial 23S ribosomal RNA". It matches the Rfam family "Bacterial large subunit ribosomal RNA", at positions 1239 to 2812 of the family's 2925-position model. The record is from RNAcentral. Lineage: Bacteria; Pseudomonadati; Pseudomonadota; Gammaproteobacteria; Vibrionales; Vibrionaceae.
UUCUGUAAGCCGUUGAAGGUGUGUUGUAAAGCAUGCUGGAGGUAUCAGAAGUGCGAAUGCUGACAUGAGUAACGACAAGGGGGGUGAAAAACCUCCCCGCCGGAAGACCAAGGGUUCCUGUCCAACGUUAAUCGGGGCAGGGUAAGUCGACCCCUAAGGCGAGGCUGAAAAGCGUAGUCGAUGGGAAACGGGUUAAUAUUCCCGUACUUCUUACAAUUGCGAUGGGGGGACGGAGAAGGCUAGGUGGGCCUGGCGACGGUUGUCCAGGUUCAAGUGCGUAGGCUGAGUGUUUAGGUAAAUCCGGAUACUCUUAAGGCUGAGACACGACGUCGAGCUACUACGGUAGUGAAGUCAUUGAUGCCAUGCUUCCAGGAAAAGCCUCUAAGCUUCAGAUUGUAAGGAAUCGUACCCCAAACCGACACAGGUGGUCGGGUAGAGAAUACCAAGGCGCUUGAGAGAACUCGGGUGAAGGAACUAGGCAAAAUGGUACCGUAACUUCGGGAGAAGGUACGCUCUUGAUGGUGAAGUCCCUUGCGGAUGGAGCUGACGAGAGUCGCAGAUACCAGGUGGCUGCAACUGUUUAUUAAAAACACAGCACUGUGCAAAAUCGUAAGAUGACGUAUACGGUGUGACGCCUGCCCGGUGCCGGAAGGUUAAUUGAUGGGGUUAGCGUAAGCGAAGCUCUUGAUCGAAGCCCCGGUAAACGGCGGCCGUAACUAUAACGGUCCUAAGGUAGCGAAAUUCCUUGUCGGGUAAGUUCCGACCUGCACGAAUGGCGUAAUGAUGGCCACGCUGUCUCCACCCGAGACUCAGUGAAAUUGAAAUCGCUGUGAAGAUGCAGUGUACCCGCGGCUAGACGGAAAGACCCCGUGAACCUUUACUACAGCUUGGCACUGAACAUUGAACCUACAUGUGUAGGAUAGGUGGGAGGCUUUGAAGACGUGACGCCAGUUGCGUUGGAGCCGUCCUUGAAAUACCACCCUUGUAUGUUUGAUGUUCUAACGUUGGCCCCUAAUCGGGGUUGCGGACAGUGCCUGGUGGGUAGUUUGACUGGGGCGGUCUCCUCCCAAAGAGUAACGGAGGAGCACGAAGGUGGGCUAAUCACGGUUGGACAUCGUGAGGUUAGUGCAAUGGCAUAAGCCCGCUUAACUGCGAGAAUGACGGUUCGAGCAGGUGCGAAAGCAGGUCAUAGUGAUCCGGUGGUUCUGAAUGGAAGGGCCAUCGCUCAACGGAUAAAAGGUACUCCGGGGAUAACAGGCUGAUACCGCCCAAGAGUUCAUAUCGACGGCGGUGUUUGGCACCUCGAUGUCGGCUCAUCACAUCCUGGGGCUGAAGUCGGUCCCAAGGGUAUGGCUGUUCGCCAUUUAAAGUGGUACGCGAGCUGGGUUUAGAACGUCGUGAGACAGUUCGGUCCCUAUCUGCCGUGGGCGUUGGAAGAUUGAAGGGGGCUGCUCCUAGUACGAGAGGACCGGAGUGGACGAACCUCUGGUGUUCGGGUUGUGUCGCCAGACGCAUUGCCCGGUAGCUAAGUUCGGAAUCGAUAACCGCUGAAAGCAUCUAAGCGGGAAGCGAGCCCUGAGAUGAGUCUU